RNAcentral lists this ribosomal RNA (468 nucleotides) under uncultured bacterium. RNAcentral's name for it is "partial 16S ribosomal RNA". It matches the Rfam family "Bacterial small subunit ribosomal RNA", at positions 28 to 507 of the family's 1533-position model. The record is from RNAcentral.
GACGAACGCUGGCGGCGUGCUUAACACAUGCAAGUCGAACGGAAAGGCCCUGCUUUUGUGGGGUGCUCGAGUGGCGAACGGGUGAGUAACACGUGAGUAACCUGCCCUUGACUUUGGGAUAACUUCAGGAAACUGGGGCUAAUACCGGAUAGGAGCUCCUGCUGCAUGGUGGGGGUUGGAAAGUUUCGGCGGUUGGGGAUGGACUCGCGGCUUAUCAGCUUGUUGGUGGGGUAGUGGCUUACCAAGGCUUUGACGGGUAGCCGGCCUGAGAGGGUGACCGGCAACAUUGGGACAGAGAUACGGCCCAGACUCCGACGGGAGGCAGCAGUGGGGAAUAUUGCAGAAUGGGCGGAAGCCUGAUGCAGCAACGCCGCGUGCGGGAUGAGGGCCUUCGGGUUGUAAACCGCUUUCGCCGGUGACGAAGCGUGAGGGAGGGUAAUGGGUAAAGAAGCAACGGCUAACUACGUG